Saccostrea cuccullata (small rock oyster) is the source of this 367-nucleotide long non-coding RNA. RefSeq lists it as uncharacterized. The record is from RefSeq and is a predicted model, not a curated record. Lineage: Eukaryota; Metazoa; Mollusca; Bivalvia; Ostreida; Ostreidae. The transcript has 3 exons.
ACUAUAAAGAAACCCAGCGGAUUAAAAACUGUUUUGAGCCACUCUCUCAUAAAACUUCAGAAUGUGACUUGUACUACGUGUUGGCUGUGAUAGAAGUCAAGAAAUAGGAGUGAUUGAAGUCUACAUGCCAGCAGUACACAGAAUCAAGUUGAAUAGGAAUUGAUAGUAGCCACAGAGAGAAGUUGACAUUUUCGGUGCACUCAAGUCACAUUUUGAAUGGUUAGUGUAAGGUGUUCCAGUUGCUAAGUCUACUUGCCAGCAGUACACACUUUCAAGAUGAGACGCCACCACUUGCCGGCGGAGAGCUUCAAAUUUUGUCCUAAACUCGGCACUUAGGGCCGUUGAGCAGAGAAGGAUCAUUUUCGUG